AAGAGAGGUCGAUAGGUAGCAACAGAGGGGUCGAAGGUACAACAGAGGGGUCGAAGGUACAACAGAGCGGUCGAAGGUACAACAGUAGGGGUCGAAGGUACAACCGAGGGGU
Salvelinus sp. IW2-2015 is the source of this 112-nucleotide non-coding RNA. The record is from RefSeq and is a predicted model, not a curated record. Lineage: Eukaryota; Metazoa; Chordata; Actinopteri; Salmoniformes; Salmonidae.